AGUGAACGCUGGCGGUAGGCCUAACACAUGCAAGUCGAACGGCAGCACAGUAAGAGCUUGCUCUUACGGGUGGCGAGUGGCGGACGGGUGAGGAAUACAUCGGAAUCUACUUUUUCGUGGGGGAUAACGUAGGGAAACUUACGCUAAUACCGCAUACGACCUACGGGUGAAAGCAGGGGAUCUUCGGACCUUGCGCGAUUGAAUGAGCCGAUGUCGGAUUAGCUAGUUGGCGGGGUAAAGGCCCACCAAGGCGACGAUCCGUAGCUGGUCUGAGAGGAUGAUCAGCCACACUGGAACUGAGACACGGGCCAGACUCCUACGGGAGGCAGCAGUGGGGAAUAUUGGACAAUGGGCGCAAGCCUGAUCCAGCCAGACCGCGUGGGUGAAGAAGGCCUUCGGGUUGUAAAGCCCUUUUGUUGGGAAAGAAAAGCAGCAGGUUAAUACCCCGCUGUUCUGACGGUACCCAAAGAAUAAGCACCGGCUAACUUCGU
This 491-nucleotide ribosomal RNA is filed under the name uncultured bacterium. RNAcentral's name for it is "partial 16S ribosomal RNA". It matches the Rfam family "Bacterial small subunit ribosomal RNA", at positions 29 to 506 of the family's 1533-position model. The record is from RNAcentral.